AAUGAACGCUGGCGGCGUGCUUAACGCAUGCAAGUCGAACGAGGCUGAGGGGGCAACUCCUCAGUUUAGUGGCGGACGGGUGAGUAACACGUGGGUAACCUGCCCGGAAGUGGGGAAUACCUCGGGGAAACUCGAGCUAAUACCGCAUAACAUCUUCGGGACGAAAGUCCUGACGAUCAAAGCGGGGUCGCAAGAUCUCGCGCUACCGGAUGGGCCCGCGCCCGAUUAGCUAGUUGGUGGGGAACGGCUCACCAAGGCUUCGAUCGGUAACCGGCCUGAGAGGGCGAUCGGUCACACCGGAACUGAGACACGGUCCGGACUCCUACGGGAGGCAGCAGUGGGGAAUCUUGCGCAAUGGGCGAAAGCCUGACGCAGCAACGCCGCGUGGAGGAUGAAGGCCCUUGGGUUGUAAACUCCUGUCGGCUGGGAAGAAAUCUUCCGGGGUUAAUACCUCCGGAAGUUGACUGUACCAGCAAAGGAAGCCCCGGCUAACUCUGUGCCAGCAGCCGCCGCU
RNAcentral lists this ribosomal RNA (514 nucleotides) under uncultured bacterium. Its description in RNAcentral is "bacterial SSU rRNA". It matches the Rfam family "Bacterial small subunit ribosomal RNA", at positions 29 to 522 of the family's 1533-position model. The record is from RNAcentral.